UACGGAGGGGGCAAGCGUUAUUCGGAAUUAUUGGGCGUAAAGGGCGCGUAGGCGGCUUGGUAAGUCAAAGGUGAAAUCCCUCGGCUCAACUGAGGAAUUGCCUUUGAAACUGCCUGGCUUGAGGCCGGGAGGGGGUAGCGGAAUUCCCAGUGUAGCGGUGAAAUGCGUAGAUACUGGGAGGAACACCAAUGGCGAAGGCAGCUCGCUGGAACGGUACUGACGCUGAGGCGCGAAAGCGUGGGGAGCGAACAGG
Molecule: ribosomal RNA, 253 nt
Filed under: uncultured bacterium
Lineage: Bacteria
Description: partial 16S ribosomal RNA
Rfam family: Bacterial small subunit ribosomal RNA
Source: RNAcentral